GACGAACGCUGGCGGCGUGCUUAACACAUGCAAGUCGAACGGAAAGGCCCUUCUUUUGUGGGGUGCUCGAGUGGCGAACGGGUGAGUAACACGUUAUUAACUUGCCUUUGACUUUGGGAUAACUUCAUGAAACUGGUGCUAAUACUGGAUAGCUGCUCCUGCUUCAUGGUUGGGGUUGUAUAGUUUCGGCGGUUGGGGAUGGACUCGCGGCUUAUCAGCUUGUUGGUGGGGUAUUGGCUUACCAAGGCGUUGACGGGUAGCCGGCCUGAGAGGGUGACCGGCCACAUUGGGACUGAGAUACGGCCCAGACUCCUACGGGAGGCAGCAGUGGGGAAUAUUGCACAAUGGGCGGAAGCCUGAUGCAGCAACGCCGCGUGCGGGAUGACGGCCUUCGGGCUGUAAACCGCUUUCGCCUGUGACGAAGCGUGAGUGACGGUAAUGGGAAAAGAAGCACCGGCUAACUACGUG
RNAcentral lists this ribosomal RNA (468 nucleotides) under uncultured bacterium. RNAcentral's name for it is "partial 16S ribosomal RNA". It matches the Rfam family "Bacterial small subunit ribosomal RNA", at positions 28 to 507 of the family's 1533-position model. The record is from RNAcentral.